Long non-coding RNA from Tachysurus fulvidraco (yellow catfish), 275 nucleotides. RefSeq lists it as uncharacterized. The record is from RefSeq and is a predicted model, not a curated record. Lineage: Eukaryota; Metazoa; Chordata; Actinopteri; Siluriformes; Bagridae. The transcript has 3 exons.
ACUGUAAGGUGGUGUAGUGUAAGGUGGUGUAGUGUAAGGUGGUAACAUCAGCAGAAUUAUAGAGACAGUAGAUAACUGUAAGGUGGUGUAGUGUAAGGUGGUAACAUCAGCAGAAUUAUAGAGACAGUAGAUAACUGUAAGGUGGUGUAGUGUAAGGUGGUAACAUCAGCAGAAUUAUAGAGACAGUAGAUAACUGUAAGGUGGUGUAGUGUAAGGUGGUGUAGUGUAAGGUGGUAACAUCAGCAGAAUUAUAGAGACAGUAGAUAACUGUAUGA